RNAcentral lists this ribosomal RNA (457 nucleotides) under uncultured bacterium. RNAcentral's name for it is "bacterial SSU rRNA". It matches the Rfam family "Bacterial small subunit ribosomal RNA", at positions 45 to 496 of the family's 1533-position model. The record is from RNAcentral.
GGCCUACACAUGCAAGUCGAGGGGUAACAGGGAGAAGCUUGCUUUUCCGCUGACGACCGGCGCACGGGUGCGUAACGCGUAUACAAUCUGCCUUAUACUGGGGUAUAGCCUUUAGAAAUGAAGAUUAAUCCCCCAUAGUCUCUUAGAGUGGCAUCAUUUUAGGAGUAAAGGUUACGGUAUAAGAUGAGUAUGCGUUCUAUUAGUUUGUUGGUGAGGUAACGGCUCACCAAGGCUACGAUAGAUAGGGGCCCUGAGAGGGGGACCCCCCACACUGGUACUGAGACACGGACCAGACUCCUACGGGAGGCAGCAGUGAGGAAUAUUGGACAAUGGAGGCAACUCUGAUCCAGCCAUGCCGCGUGCAGGAAGACUGCCCUAUGGGUUGUAAACUGCUUUUAUAUAGGAAGAAACCUACUUACGUGUAAGUAGCUGACGGUACUAUAAGAAUAAGGAUCGG